Molecule: unclassified non-coding RNA, 382 nt
Filed under: soil metagenome
Description: partial contains 5.8S ribosomal RNA, internal transcribed spacer 2, and large subunit ribosomal RNA
Rfam family: 5.8S ribosomal RNA (bases 1-120)
Source: RNAcentral
GAUGAAGAACGCAGCAAAAUGCGAUAAGUAAUGUGAAUUGCAGAAUUCAGUGAAUCAUCGAAUCUUUGAACGCACCUUGCACCCUUUGGCAUUCCGAAGGGUAUGCUCGUUUGAGUGUCAUUGUACUCUCACACUUCUGAUCCUUUGGAUUGGGAGCGGUGGACUUGGGUGUUGCUGCUUUACUGUGGCUCACCUCAAAUGCAUUCGUGCAACUCUUGGUUGGACAUAGUACGGCGUGAUAAGUAUCUUCGCCGGCACCUCGCAAGAGGGUGGCUGAUCAGGAGCUCUGUGCUUUCCAACUGUCUUCAGACAACAACUGACAACUUGACCUCAAAUCGAGUAGGACCACCCGCUGAACUUAAGCAUAUCAAUAAGCGGAGGA